This 478-nucleotide ribosomal RNA is filed under the name uncultured bacterium. Its description in RNAcentral is "partial 16S ribosomal RNA". It matches the Rfam family "Bacterial small subunit ribosomal RNA", at positions 28 to 507 of the family's 1533-position model. The record is from RNAcentral.
GAUGAACGCUGGCGGCGUGCUUAACACAUGCAAGUCGAACGGGAAACCUUUUAUUUAAGCUUCGGCAGAUUUAGCUGGUUUCUAGUGGCGGACGGGUGAGUAACGCGUGGGUAACCUGCCUUAUACAGGGGGAUAACAGUCAGAAAUGGCUGCUAAUACCGCAUAAGCGCACAGAGCUGCAUGGCUCAGUUUGAAAAACUCCGGUGGUAUAAGAUGGACCCGCGUUGGAUUGGCUGGUUGGUGGGGUAACGGCCCACCAAGGCGACGAUCCAUAGCCGGCCUGAGAGGGUGAACGGCCACACUGGGACUGAGACACGGCCCAGACUCCUACGGGAGGCAGCAGUGGGGAAUAUUGCACAAUGGGGGAAACCAUGAUGCAGCGACGCCGCGUGAAGGAAGAAGUAUCGCGGUAUGUAAACUUCUAUCAGCAGGGAAGAUAAUGACGGUACCUGACUAAGAAGCCCCGGCUAACUACGUG